CAGGAUCAACACUUCUACGGGAGGCAGCAGUGGGGAAUAUUGGACAAUGGGCGAAAGCCUGAUCCAGCCAUGCCGCGUGUGUGAAGAAGGUCUUCGGAUUGUAAAGCACUUUAAGUUGGGAGGAAGGGCAGUAAGCGAAUACCUUGCUGUUUUGACGUUACCGACAGAAUAAGCACCGGCUAACUCUGUGCCAGCAGCCGCGGUAAUACAGAGGGUGCAAGCGUUAAUCGGAAUUACUGGGCGUAAAGCGCGCGUAAGUGGUUUGUUAAGUUGAAUGUGAAAGCCCCGGGCUCAACCUGGGAACUGCAUCCAAAACUGGCAAGCUAGAGUACGGUAGAGGGUGGUGGAAUUUCCUGUGUAGCGGUGAAAUGCGUAGAUAUAGGAAGGAACACCAGUGGCGAAGG
This 404-nucleotide ribosomal RNA is filed under the name Pseudomonas sp. j20(2016). Its description in RNAcentral is "bacterial SSU rRNA". It matches the Rfam family "Bacterial small subunit ribosomal RNA", at positions 325 to 721 of the family's 1533-position model. Lineage: Bacteria; Pseudomonadati; Pseudomonadota; Gammaproteobacteria; Pseudomonadales; Pseudomonadaceae. The record is from RNAcentral.